This 308-nucleotide ribosomal RNA is filed under the name uncultured Sphingobacteriales bacterium. RNAcentral's name for it is "bacterial SSU rRNA". It matches the Rfam family "Bacterial small subunit ribosomal RNA", at positions 1075 to 1382 of the family's 1533-position model. The record is from RNAcentral. Lineage: Bacteria; Pseudomonadati; Bacteroidota; Sphingobacteriia; Sphingobacteriales.
UCGGGUUAAGUCCCAUAACGAGCGCAACCCUUAUCGUUAGUUGCCAGCGGGUAAUGCCGGGAACUCUAACGAAACUGCCGGUGUAAACCGUGAGGAAGGUGGGGAUGACGUCAAAUCAGCACGGCCCUUAUGUCCAGGGCUACACACGUGUUACAAUGGCCGGUACAGAGGGCAGCUACCUGGAGACAGGACGCGAAUCUCCAAAGUCGGUCUCAGUUCGGAUCGGAGUCUGCAACUCGACUCCGUGAAGCUGGAUUCGCUAGUAAUCGCGCAUCAGCCAUGGCGCGGUGAAUACGUUCCCGGGCCUU